AACGAACGCUGGCGGCAUGCCUAACACAUGCAAGUCGAACGAAGCCUUCGGGCUUAGUGGCGCACGGGUGCGUAACGCGUGGGAAUCUGCCCUUAGGUACGGAAUAACUCAUGGAAACGUGUGCUAAUACCGUAUGAUGUCUUCGGACCAAAGAUUUAUCGCCUAGGGAUGAGCCCGCGUUGGAUUAGCUAGUUGGUGAGGUAAAGGCUCACCAAGGCGACGAUCCAUAGCUGGUCUGAGAGGAUGAUCAGCCACACUGGGACUGAGACACGGCCCAGACUCCUACGGGAGGCAGCAGUGGGGAAUAUUGGACAAUGGGCGAAAGCCUGAUCCAGCAAUGCCGCGUGAGUGAAGAAGGCCUUCGGGUUGUAAAGCUCUUUUACCCGGGAACGAUAAUGACUGUACCGGGAGAAUAAGCCCGGCUAACUCCGUGCCAGCAGCCGCGGUAAGCUCGUCUCUA
Molecule: ribosomal RNA, 460 nt
Filed under: uncultured bacterium
Lineage: Bacteria
Description: bacterial SSU rRNA
Rfam family: Bacterial small subunit ribosomal RNA
Source: RNAcentral